GAUGAACGCUGGCGGCGUGCUUAAUACAUGCAAGUCGAACGAACAGGCGAUGCUCUUGUGGCUCGCUCGAUAGGCGAACGGGGGAGUAAAACGCGUGUAACAUGUCCCUGUCUUACGGGUAAAAUCUGGAAAAAGGGGCUCAAAUCCGAUAGAAUCUACUGCUGCAUGGGGGGGGUUGGUAAGUUUCGGCUGUUGGGGCUGGAAUCGCGGCUUAUCCGCUUGUUGGUGGGGUAGUGGCUUACCAAGGCUGUGAAGGGUAGCCGGCAUGGGAGGGUGACCGGCCUCCAUGGGACUGAGAUAGGGCCCAGACUCCUACGGGAGGCAGCAGGGGGGAAUAUUGCACAAUGGGCGGAAGCCUGAUGCAGCAGCGCCGCGUGCGGGAUGACGUCCUUCGGGUUGUAAACAGCUGUCUCCUGUGACGAAGCGGGAGUGACGGUAAUGGGUAAAGAAGCACCGGCUAACUACGUG
Molecule: ribosomal RNA, 468 nt
Filed under: uncultured bacterium
Lineage: Bacteria
Description: partial 16S ribosomal RNA
Rfam family: Bacterial small subunit ribosomal RNA
Source: RNAcentral